AGCGGCGAGCGAAGCGGGAAGAGCUCAAAUUUAUAAUCUGGCACCUUCGGUGUCCGAGUUGUAAUCUCUAGAAAUGUUUUCCGCGUUGGACCGCACACAAGUCUGUUGGAAUACAGCGGCAUAGUGGUGAGACCCCCGUAUAUGGUGCGGACGCCCAGCGCUUUGUGAUACAUUUUCGAAGAGUCGAGUUGUUUGGGAAUGCAGCUCAAAUUGGGUGGUAAAUUCCAUCUAAAGCUAAAUAUUGGCGAGAGACCGAUAGCGAACAAGUACCGUGAGGGAAAGAUGAAAAGCACUUUGGAAAGAGAGUUAACAGUACGUGAAAUUGUUGGAAGGGAAACGCUUGAAGUCAGACUUGCUUGCCGAGCAAUCGGUUUGCAGGCCAGCAUCAGUUUUCCGGGAUGGAUAAUGGUAGAGAGAAGGUAGCAGUUUCGGCUGUGUUAUAGCUCUCUGCUGGAUACAUCUUGGGGGACUGAGGAACGCAGUGUGCCUUUGGCGGGGGUUUCGACCUCUUCACACUUAGGAUGCUGGUGGAAUGGCUUUAAACGACCCGUCUUGAAACACGGACCAAGGAGUCUAACAUGCUUGCGAGUAUUUGGGUGUCAAACCCGGAUGCGUAAUGAAAGUGAAUGGAGGUGGGAACCGCAGGUGCACCAUCGACCGAUCUGGAUUUUUAAUGAUGGAUUUGAGUAAGAGCACGUAUGUUGGGACCCGAAAGAUGGUGAACUAUGCCUGAAUAGGGCGAAGCCAGAGGAAACUCUCGUGGAGGCUCGUAGCGGUUCUGACGUGCAAAUCGAUCGUCAAAUUUGGGUAUAGGGGCGAAAGACUA
Molecule: ribosomal RNA, 826 nt
Filed under: Rhodotorula mucilaginosa
Lineage: Eukaryota; Fungi; Basidiomycota; Microbotryomycetes; Sporidiobolales; Sporidiobolaceae
Description: partial large subunit ribosomal RNA
Rfam family: Eukaryotic large subunit ribosomal RNA
Source: RNAcentral